UACAGGGGGUGCAAACGUUGCUCGGAAUCAUUGGGCGUAAAGCGCACGUAGGCGGUUCGUUAUGUCGGAUGUGAAAGCCCUUGGCUUAACCGAGGAAGUGCAUCCGAAACUGGCGAGCUAGAGUACUAAAGAGGAUCGCGGAAUUCCCGGUGUAGAGGUGAAAUUCGUAGAUAUCGGGAGGAACACCGGUGGCGAAGGCGGGUCUCUGGGCCAAAACUGACGCUGAGGAGCGAAAGCGUGGGGAGCGAACAGG
Molecule: ribosomal RNA, 253 nt
Filed under: uncultured bacterium
Lineage: Bacteria
Description: partial 16S ribosomal RNA
Rfam family: Bacterial small subunit ribosomal RNA
Source: RNAcentral